UACAGAGGUCUCAAGCGUUGUUCGGAUUCAUUGGGCGUAAAGGGUGCGUAGGUGGCGGGGUAAGUCAGGUGUGAAAUUUCGGAGCUUAACUCCGAAACUGCAUUCCAUACUGCGGUGCUUGAGGACUGGAGAGGAGACUGGAAUUCAUGGUGUAGCAGUGAAAUGCGUAGAGAUCAUGAGGAAGACCAGUGGCGAAGGCGGGUCUCUGGACAGUUCCUGACACUGAGACACGAAGGCCAGGGGAGCAAACGGG
RNAcentral lists this ribosomal RNA (253 nucleotides) under uncultured bacterium. RNAcentral's name for it is "partial 16S ribosomal RNA". It matches the Rfam family "Bacterial small subunit ribosomal RNA", at positions 524 to 776 of the family's 1533-position model. The record is from RNAcentral.